CAACUCCGUUCCCAAUUGAACUACAGGUAGUUUAUUUUGGACACGACACAGACGCCACUUAACUGUUGUGAGGUGUUCACUUCUUCGUUCUAACACGUUUUUCAAAUUCAUAACGUAAACCAAAAUGGGUAUUUCUCCCGCUAGGACCUCGCAGCCGCGAGAAGAGAUCAGAUCACAUAGAAGUUAGUUAGCCAGAUAAACGGUCGAGCAACAAGCUUACUAUUCUGUGGGCUUAGUUAGAGAGACAGUGACACCGAAGGCAACCAUCUGAUUUAGCAAACAACACUUUACAACCAGAACAAGAUGCCAGGCGCUAAAUUCAGAGCUGUGUAUGUGCCUAGGUUUGCCACUCGGUCUUGUAGCUCUACUCAAAAGAGUGGUAGACAACAAACAGAUGAGUAUUUAAUCGAGUUGCCCAGUGAACAGAGAAAGCAAGGGCGUCUAGAUCUUUCAACUAAAAAGGUUAAACUGACCAAACACACCAAGCCUGUGAUCACAAUGAAGAAGAAAGUGAAAGAGGCCGACAUAUCGAAGCCCAAUAAUUCCCCUAUUCUAGAGUUCAAACAAAUAAAUCAACGACGCAUUCAUGGAGGAACAUCUCAAAGACUAAACCUGUCAAAUUCCAGAAUGUCAGGUGGUAGUCCUCACACAGUGAACGAAGAUGUCUUCACUUUCUCACAGAGGAACGAAGCCAUGUCAACAAGUGAAGCAGCUCCACAGCAGUCCAGGGCCAGACUGUCUGUGCUGAGAACCAUCUCCCGCAUGCUUCAGGAGAACCAGGGCAUCAGAGAGAGACUGGUGCCUCUCACACAUAACAGAUACUGCAGACUGGAGGGACACUGAGAUAGUCAGAUCUAGUCAGUCACCAGCAAGGCCAGUUCAAGUGUUGCAAUGGCCUCAUUUUAUAUCUGCGAUUUGACUUGGUCUUCAGUUACUCUUUUCGUCAAUGGUGGUGUUUCCAAAGGAUUCUUUUGUAUUCGUACUUGAUUGUUAACAUAUUGUAUGUAGUUUGCAUAUCUUCUGAACAAUGUCUGUUUGGAAGGAUAGUCAGUGCUUACAAAGUUACGUUCCUUUUCCUAAUGAAAAUACUGAAGCAAUAAGUAAUUUUUAAAAUGUUAAUUAAAACACCAUGUCAUGGCCUCUGGGCCCUUA
This is a long non-coding RNA of Osmerus eperlanus (European smelt), 1152 nucleotides long. RefSeq lists it as uncharacterized. Lineage: Eukaryota; Metazoa; Chordata; Actinopteri; Osmeriformes; Osmeridae. The record is from RefSeq and is a predicted model, not a curated record. The transcript is spliced from 3 exons.